AUGCUGGAGAAGAUUGGACCUCUGGCUUACAAGUUGGAUUUCCCGACGGACAGCUGCGUGCACCCAGUCUUCCACGUCUCUGAGCUGAAGCCGUUCACGCUGGAUUACUCGUUGGUGUUCGCCGAGCUUCCCCGUGUCCAAGACCUGUCUGCUACGAUGAUAGAGCCUGUCAAGAUUCUGGAGAGGCACAUGAUGAAGCACGACGAUGCACCCGUGGUGUAGCUCAAGAUCCAGUGGUCGUCAUCGUCCUCGGACGCGGCCGCCUGGGAGGACUACGACGUGCUACGCCAGUGAUUUCCCACGGCUACCAUUAGGGACGGGGAGGCCUCGUCUUAA
RNAcentral lists this ribosomal RNA (336 nucleotides) under Triticum aestivum (bread wheat). Its description in RNAcentral is "partial small subunit ribosomal RNA". Lineage: Eukaryota; Viridiplantae; Streptophyta; Magnoliopsida; Poales; Poaceae. The record is from RNAcentral.